GGUUCAGUAGCUUCAGAGGUCCAGAGCAGGGGAUUCAUAAGCCCAAGGUCGCUGGUUCGAAUCCAGCCUGAACCA
RNAcentral lists this transfer RNA (75 nucleotides) under Karenia mikimotoi. Its description in RNAcentral is "tRNA-Met". It matches the Rfam family "tRNA". Rfam says of the family: Transfer RNA (tRNA) molecules are approximately 80 nucleotides in length. Their secondary structure includes four short double-helical elements and three loops (D, anti-codon, and T loops). Lineage: Eukaryota; Dinophyceae; Gymnodiniales; Kareniaceae. The record is from RNAcentral.